CUGAACGGCCUCUAAGUCAGAAUCCGUGCCAGAAAGCGACGACGCCUCCCGCACGUAUAGAUGGACACGAAUAGGCCUCUGGCUUAGCGUCUUAGCAGGCAAAGAACGCCAACGCUCUGGAAACGGGUGUUGGUACUUUGCGAAUUGUAAUUUCAGCACGAGCGGGGUCGAAUCCCUUGCAGACGACUUUGAUGUGCGAAAGGGUCCUGUAAGCAGUAGAGUAGCCUUGUUGUUACGAUCUGCUGAGGGUAAGCCCUACUUCGCCUCGAUUU
Molecule: ribosomal RNA, 272 nt
Filed under: Verticillium dahliae
Lineage: Eukaryota; Fungi; Ascomycota; Sordariomycetes; Glomerellales; Plectosphaerellaceae
Description: partial 28S ribosomal RNA
Rfam family: Eukaryotic large subunit ribosomal RNA
Source: RNAcentral